RNAcentral lists this ribosomal RNA (254 nucleotides) under uncultured bacterium. RNAcentral's name for it is "partial 16S ribosomal RNA". It matches the Rfam family "Bacterial small subunit ribosomal RNA", at positions 524 to 776 of the family's 1533-position model. The record is from RNAcentral.
UACAGAGGGUGCAAGCGUUGUCCGGAUUUAUUGGGCGUAAAGCGUUUCGUAGGCGGUUUGGUAAGUUACACUUCAAAGCCCGGGGCUCAACCUCGGAAAGGGGUGUAAUACUAUCAGACUUGAAAUAUUUCGGGGCUUUCGGAACUGUCGGUGUAGGAGUGAAAUCCGUUGAUAUCGACAGGAACACCAAGGGCGUAGGCAGAAAGCUAGGAAUUUUUUGACGCUGAUGAACGACAGCUAGGGGAGCGAAAGGG